UGGGAGGUAGCUCAGUGGUAGAGCGCUUGCCUUGUAUGUAUGAGGCCCUGGGCUCGAUUUCUCAGUGCCACAU
Dipodomys ordii (Ord's kangaroo rat) is the source of this 73-nucleotide non-coding RNA. The record is from Rfam. NCBI's taxonomy places the organism in Eukaryota, Metazoa, Chordata, Mammalia, Rodentia, Heteromyidae.